GAGUUCAUGCCCUUCGGGGUAGAUCUCCCACCCUUGUGUAUCAUUAUAGAAUGUUGCUUUGGCGGGCCGCGCCUCGUGCGCCUAGAUUCGCGUCUAGCGUGCCCGCCAGAGGACCCCUAAACUCUGAAUGUUAGUGUCGUCUGAGUACUAUUAAAUAGUUAAAACUUUCAACAACGGAUCUCUUGGUUCU
Molecule: unclassified non-coding RNA, 190 nt
Filed under: rhizosphere metagenome
Description: partial ribosomal RNA internal transcribed spacer region
Source: RNAcentral